UGGAAUGUUCCCACUCUUUCCAACCCGCUA
Molecule: non-coding RNA, 30 nt
Filed under: Mus musculus (house mouse)
Lineage: Eukaryota; Metazoa; Chordata; Mammalia; Rodentia; Muridae
Source: RNAcentral